GAUGAAGAACGUAGCGAAAUGCGAUAAGUAGUGUGAAUUGCAGAAUUCAGUGAAUCAUCGAAUCUUUGAACGCACAUUGUGCCCUUUGGUAUUCCUUAGGGCAUGCCUGUUCGAGCGUCAUUUAAACCUUCAAGCUCAGCUUGGUGUUGGGUGACUGUCCGCUUCACCGCGGACUCGCCUCAAAAUUAUUGGCGGCCGGUACAUUGGCUUCGAGCGCAGCAGAAACGCGAACUCGGGCCCGUCGUAUUGGCUCCCAGAAGCUAUCUUCACAAUUUUGACCUCGGAUCAGGUAGGGAUACCCGCUGAACUUAAGCAUAUCAAUAAGCGGAGGA
RNAcentral lists this unclassified non-coding RNA (332 nucleotides) under soil metagenome. Its description in RNAcentral is "partial contains 5.8S ribosomal RNA, internal transcribed spacer 2, and large subunit ribosomal RNA". The stretch from base 1 to 120 matches the Rfam family "5.8S ribosomal RNA", at positions 35 to 154 of the family's 154-position model. The record is from RNAcentral.